RNAcentral lists this small RNA (157 nucleotides) under Marmota monax (woodchuck). Lineage: Eukaryota; Metazoa; Chordata; Mammalia; Rodentia; Sciuridae. The record is from RNAcentral.
AUCGCUUCUCGGCCUUUUGGCUAAGAUCAAGUAUAGAAAGCAAGGACUGAAUUCCAUUCUUUCUUUUUGGCCACCCCCCUCUUUUUUUUGCAAAAAGAGCAUAGGUUUUGUUUAUGUAUUAUGCAUUAAUGUUUUUUUUAUGGCUGGCAGACCUGUA